This 259-nucleotide unclassified non-coding RNA is filed under the name Hevea brasiliensis (rubber tree). The record is from RNAcentral. Lineage: Eukaryota; Viridiplantae; Streptophyta; Magnoliopsida; Malpighiales; Euphorbiaceae.
UGUCGUCUGCACCUCCCAUUAGUAUGUCAGCGCUAGGGGGCUGAAGCAUCACCUGAAGAAUUCCAGCAUGGUCACCUUUGGAGUGCUCAGGAGCAGGUGAAGCCCAAGUUCCAGGCCAGUGCGUGCCGUCUGCCAUCCAAGUGGCCUUCUGGAUCUUUAUAGGCUCUAAAGGGUCAGCUCCACUCUCCCUCAUGUGCUUCAACAUUUUCAUUUCCUCUCGUGCAUUAAAAGCAUCUGAUCUCCUCCUUAUCGAGUCUGG